RNAcentral lists this unclassified non-coding RNA (911 nucleotides) under Hevea brasiliensis (rubber tree). The record is from RNAcentral. Lineage: Eukaryota; Viridiplantae; Streptophyta; Magnoliopsida; Malpighiales; Euphorbiaceae.
CUAAACUAUACUGAGUAAUUAUAACAUUAGCAGAUAGCAGAUGGAGAUAGCAUUAAAUUAAUGCAAGUUGCCAAGUUGCAUUAAAUUAAUGCAAGUUGCUAAUGCAAAUAAAAAAAUGAAGCAACUUUGAAAAGGCUUGAAGAUGAGUGUAGAAUUGCCCUGAACACCCAACUCACCCAAAUUUAAUAGUAGAAAUGAAAAGCUAAAUUUGCAAACCAAAUCAAAUUAGCAAAUAGCAUAAAUGAAAACUCUAAAUGCAAGCUCAAAUUGCAGCAAAUGCAAUUUCAAUUAAAACUCAUUUGCAAGCAUAUACUGCAGCAAAUGAAAACACACAAUAAUCAUUAGCUUGCAACUCAGUGUAUUGCAAUGAAUGAAAACUAAAUUACAAGCAAAAAUUAUAUAGACCGUAAAUUAAAAUUCUUUUACUGGUGAAACUGCACAAACCCUAAUAAUAAUCAAUUGAAAUCAGAAAUUGCACGAACCCUAACUCAAUUUCAAUUAAAUCAUUAACAAUCAAGAAACCCAUACCCACUAUACAAAAUUAUACAAAUAACAAACCAAGCAAUAACAUAUCUGUACAAACAUGCAUCUAAGAAUUGAGAGAGUGAGUUUGAAGAAUUGACUUGUCAAAAAUGAAGAGUGCACUAGUGGCGUAAAGACUAAGGCUGCACAUUGCAAGAUAAGGAGGGAAAGUGAGAAAUGUGAUGGCUACACCGGUGAUGAGGAGGAGGUAGUGGUCAAGUAAGGAUGGGCGACAGAGGAGAUGUGACAAGGAUGUUACCGCGCUAGUCUCACAGAAGAGAAAGUGAGCGCGAGGGAGUGAGAAGAGAAGUACCGCAACGCAAGAGGAGGUUUGAAAGUAGAGUUACGAGACAGAGACUGAGGCAUUGUUUGGAUAGAGGGGUUUUGAG